GAUGAACGCUGGCGGCGUGCCUAAUACAUGCAAGUCGAGCGAACGGACGAGAAGCUUGCUUCUCUGAUGUUAGCGGCGGACGGGUGAGUAACACGUGGAUAACCUACCUAUAAGACUGGGAUAACUUCGGGAAACCGGAGCUAAUACCGGAUGAUAUUUUGAACCGCAUGGUUCAAAAGUGAAAGACGGUCUUGCUGUCACUUAUAGAUGGAUCCGCGCUGCAUUAGCUAGUUGGUAAGGUAACGGCUUACCAAGGCAACGAUGCAUAGCCGACCUGAGAGGGUGAUCGGCCACACUGGAACGGAGACACGGUCCAGACUCCUACGGGAGGCAGCAGUAGGGAAUCUUCCGCAAUGGGCGAAAGCCUGACGGAGCAACGCCGCGUGAGUGAUGAAGGUCUUCGGAUCGUAAAACUCUGUUAUUAGGGAAGAACAUAUGUGUAAGUAACUGUGCACAUCUUGACGGUACCUAAUCAGAAAGCCACGGCUAACUAC
RNAcentral lists this ribosomal RNA (494 nucleotides) under uncultured bacterium. RNAcentral's name for it is "partial 16S ribosomal RNA". It matches the Rfam family "Bacterial small subunit ribosomal RNA", at positions 28 to 504 of the family's 1533-position model. The record is from RNAcentral.